RNAcentral lists this transfer RNA (69 nucleotides) under Erinaceus europaeus (western European hedgehog). It matches the Rfam family "tRNA". From Rfam's summary of the family: Transfer RNA (tRNA) molecules are approximately 80 nucleotides in length. Their secondary structure includes four short double-helical elements and three loops (D, anti-codon, and T loops). Further hydrogen bonds mediate the characteristic L-shaped molecular structure. tRNAs have two regions of fundamental functional importance: the anti-codon, which is responsible for specific mRNA codon recognition, and the 3' end, to which the tRNAs corresponding amino acid is attached (by aminoacyl-tRNA synthetases). tRNAs cope with the degeneracy of the genetic code in two manners: having more than one tRNA (with a specific anti-codon) for a particular amino acid; and 'wobble' base-pairing, i.e. permitting non-standard base-pairing at the 3rd anti-codon position. Lineage: Eukaryota; Metazoa; Chordata; Mammalia; Eulipotyphla; Erinaceidae. The record is from Rfam by way of RNAcentral.
GGUGCAGCUCAAUGAUAGAGCACAUGCUUAUUAGCAUGUAUGAAGCCCUGGGUUCAAUUCCCAGCACCA